AAAUAAUAACUCAUAAAACAUUUUAAUUUUAAUAAAAUACAUAAAACAUUUGUGAGAAAAAAAGGUGUGAGUUCUCUGAAGAACGUCUGAGUUGUAGUUGAAGAACUGAAGUCGAAGAGUUGAAGAACAAAACUCGAAGAAUUGAUUACGUUAUGUGUGAGUUUGAUUCCCUUGUCCGAUAAAAAUUUCGUGAAGCAAGAGGAGAACAAGAAGGAUUUGAUUACUUUGGGGUUGUUUUCGAUGAAUACGAUUUCAUACAGAAUUGAAGCUAAGAACACGAUUUCAAACAAAACUGAAAAGCUCAAUAGCUGAAGAGCUUCUUGCUGAAGGACAUGAUUUACAUGAAAGUUCUUGCUGAAAAUAGGAUUUUCCUGUUAAUAGUGUUUAUAAGUUUGGUAGCUUUAUUGGCUUUGGAGCUAAACCCUGAUCUUCUAGUUUUGCUGAGUGAUGUUGAAGGUCAUUACACCGGCCCUCCAAGCGAUCCACAAUCAGAGAUAAUUCAUACGUAUGUUGAGGAGAAGCAGGAGGGAUUGAUUAAUUUCAGUGGUAGCUGUUAUGUUGUUUUAUCGAUAUGCAUUGAUGAUUUGAAGUUCAUGAUCCAAAGAUGUAGUUUGAUGAUAGAAGGCUUUAAAAUUUCUCUUAUGGUCAAGCAGAGGUGUUUAGAAGUUCUACAGUAUUUCUAACUUCUGCUUGAUGCGUUGACAAAUGGCUGCAUUAAUUGCGAAUAAGUUGGACCAAAUUCUCCCUUGAAAUUUAACAAAUAUAUGAAGAGAUUUAUUUAAUUACUCUAAUAGCCCUAAGGAGUUUUCAAAGAUGAGCAGAACAAGAUGCAUGUAAUCAUAUGAGUCGUUCAGUUAAACAUGACUAGUAGUGUAUUUGUAGCACAUAGUAUCUGCCCCAUUCUUCAAUCUAUCCAUUUUUUUUAUCUAGUACUUCUUCAAUGGAAUCAAGGCAGUGACUUUCAUGCACUUGAAGCUCAUAUUGGACCCUUGAAGGCAUCCUGAAAGUAGCUACGAAUAAUAUUAGUAAAUAACAUAAUUUUCCUUGGUCCACUGGGUCUUUGUCAGUUGUCACUAAUUGUAUACUUGAAAAAGCUAACGAUGUUGUUUUAUGGAAAAUCAAAUGGUAUAGAUAACUAUUUUUCACACUAUUGUUUCUUUAACCAUGGAGAAUCUUGGACAAUUAGAAUUUUGGGAAUACUUGAUAAAAAGCAUCCAGUUAUGACUGAAAAAUUUGAUCACUGAUUUAUCUUUGAAUUCACUCUUGGAAGUAAUCUUUAUUUCUGGAAUGCUAUAACCUUAUCCUCCUUGCUGAUGGAAUCAUAUUGGAGAAAACAUCAUCCACAUUGGGCGUUCUCCUUAUUAUGUAUGAGUCACGACAUGAUGCACUGGUACAGAUGGUAUUUUCCACAUCUGAAUUGAUAAGUCUGCUGAUUUGGAUAUGGCAAAACAUACUGUUUUAGAUGCAAAAACAGAUUACCCUGCAGCCUGCAAUGCAAUGGUUUAGAUCGUUGAAGUGUUUUGGAUGGAGACUUUAAGAAGGCUUGGAUCCUUGAUCAUCCAAGUAAGGGUAGGUCCUCAGUGUCCGAGGGCGAUGCCAAUAUCGAGCUUAUGUUAUUAUUUAGCUUUAAGACUAUUAUAUUUUAUCUCCUUUCAUUUGAGUACGGAUUGUAUUAAAACUAUAUGCACCUUGAUGUAUGGGCUAGCCCAACUUGUUAAUCGUGUUAGAUGGUUAUGAGAUGAGACACUCUUUGAAGACUAUUUUCUA
This is an RNA transcript of Solanum pennellii, 1767 nucleotides long. RefSeq lists it as uncharacterized. The transcript has 5 exons. Lineage: Eukaryota; Viridiplantae; Streptophyta; Magnoliopsida; Solanales; Solanaceae. The record is from RefSeq and is a predicted model, not a curated record.